GUCUAUAGCCAUGCUACCCUGAACAAGCCCCAUCCCGUCUGAUCUCAGAAACUAAACAGGGUUGGGCCUGGUUAGUACUUGGAUGGAAGACCUCCUAGGAAGACCAGGUGCUAUAGUGA
Molecule: ribosomal RNA, 119 nt
Organism: Pteropus vampyrus (large flying fox)
Lineage: Eukaryota; Metazoa; Chordata; Mammalia; Chiroptera; Pteropodidae
Source: Ensembl